RNAcentral lists this ribosomal RNA (253 nucleotides) under uncultured bacterium. Its description in RNAcentral is "partial 16S ribosomal RNA". It matches the Rfam family "Bacterial small subunit ribosomal RNA", at positions 524 to 776 of the family's 1533-position model. The record is from RNAcentral.
AACGUAGGACGCAAGCGUUAUCCGGAGUUACUGGGCGUAAAGCGCGGGCAGGCGGCUCUCAACGUCUGAUGUGAAAUCUCCUCGCUCAACGGGGAGAGGCCAUUGGAAACGGUCGAGCUGGAGGGCAGUAGAGGUAGGCGGAAUUCCGGGUGGAGUGGUGAAAUGCGUAGAGAUCCGGAGGAACACCAGAGGCGAAGGCGGCCUACUGGGCUGCACCUGACGCUGAGCCGCGAAAGCCAGGGGAGCGAACGGG